This 471-nucleotide long non-coding RNA is filed under the name Oryza sativa tropical japonica subgroup. RNAcentral's name for it is "lncRNA OsCMeo_02g0028810". The record is from RNAcentral. RNAcentral also lists the same sequence under 1 other name. Lineage: Eukaryota; Viridiplantae; Streptophyta; Magnoliopsida; Poales; Poaceae.
GACAGCGGAUCAUCGCACCUUGCCAACAAACCGCCCUCUACCAAAGCUGCCUAUGAUCUAAGCUUUUCUGAGUUACCGGUUGACCCAUUUGCUGGGCCCACUUGGGACAACCAUGCUCAAACCAAAUGCAAGAUCUUCCUUUGGACGGCGCACAAGAGACCCAUUUGGCACUCCUAUGGACUCGAUGAACAGCAAGUCGCCUCCCUAGCACAGCUCGAAGACCUAUGGGGCCUCCCACUCCCUGACAAUGCUCUCACCCCUCGGGUCUGGUGCACUAUCUUACUCGCCGUCGUUUGGAACAUCUGGAAACGCCGCAACAACAAGAUCUUCAUCUCCAUCGACGAAACCAACACGCUAGUUCUUCGUCGCUGCGCCAACGAUAUCGAGUUGUGGUCAAACCGAUGUAACGACAUUGUAGGCAAACAACAACUUCACUCUUGGGCGCUAAAUCUUUCUGUAAUUAACCACUAA